Molecule: long non-coding RNA, 1488 nt
Filed under: Vulpes vulpes (red fox)
Lineage: Eukaryota; Metazoa; Chordata; Mammalia; Carnivora; Canidae
Description: lncRNA (ENSVVUG00000012262.1)
Source: RNAcentral
CAGAAAGCCAAGCUAAAAUGUGCACACUAAAGAUAUGAAAAAGAUAACAGUCAGGAGCAACUGUAGUAAACACAUAACAUUACAAACAGAUUAAAUUACCACAAAGGGACAGAUAAACUUCCUUAGUUAAAUUACAAUAAUUAACCACAGUAUAGAAUUCCCUGAGGUUUAGUAAAGCAAUCAUUCAUUGCACAAGUACUAUUUAUGAAACACUUUCCAUCUAUCAACAAUUCAACCAUUUUUUAAAGUGUCUUUUAUGUACCAGACAGAGUUCAAGGAGCGAGGGAUGCAACAGUGAACUGAACACAUAAGAUGCCUUGUCAGCACAGAGCUUACAUUUUAGUGGGGGAAGCAGGAACAAGUUAUGUAGGUGAGAUACACAGAAUGCUGCAUAGCAUUAAUCCUCCCAACAGUCGUGACAAGUGAGAGUUAUUACCUCAUGUUUCAGAAGAGGAACGUAUAAACUAUGUUAACUAGAAUUUCUGUCAUUUCUUCCCUUUCCAACAACGUGAUGAUUAAAUAACAUGUUCCAUCAGGUUGGACUGGGGCUCUACAGAGCUGUGGUGGGCCAUGACAAUGUGGUGCCUUUUACCCACCCAGGGUAGAACAACCCACGGCCCAGAGAGUAGAGCUAAUGCCCAAAUGUUGUACAACAGCAAGUCCGGAAAUGAGUCUUCAAGGGGCUGGGCAGAAGAUAAGAGAAUCUUGAAAUGAAGGAAUGGGAAAAGUAUCAAAGGGAUGGAAAAAAUUUCUGCUAGAUUUGGCAAGAAGGAGAAUGUGAAUAUUUCUUGAAGGCCAGGUUCAGUGGUGUGGAAGAGGCAGAAACCAGAAUGCAGUAGCCUGAGCAGUGGCAGAAAAGUAUGUGAAACUAGCUCACAUAGAAGAGAGGAGUCAACAAAUAGAAUUAAGAAGUUUAAGAAAAAGAAUAAAUUUAAUUAUGACCAAAGGAAUGAUGGAGCCCUCUGUGAAACAGCAGACACUGAAAGACUAUGAAGAAUCCCAUGAUCAGUGGAGGGAGAGAAAAACAUCAAGGAGCAAGGGACCGAGUAGGCAAAGAUGCAGGAUUAGAUUAUUGGAUACUGAUUUGAGACAUCCUUGGUUGGAGAAAUAUUUGGAAGAACAGUCAAAGAGGCUUGAGCACCGUCAUUGAAUCCAUGAACUUCAUCCUCAUGUUGGGAACCCAAGAUGCUGACCACAGCAAGGCACGGUGUAAAGAGGUGUCAUUUCCUUGUGGUGUUAUGACAGGAAAGCCCAGAGAAUCUCUGCUUCCAGAGGUGAUAUUUGGUUCUUCUUUCUGUUGUUAUUCUGAUGAGGGGUCAUUUGUUCAAUUACAAAGGUGGGUUAACAUUAAUGGUGAAUUAUAGGCAAAGCCAUUUGGAAGUAAAAUAAGAACCUAGAAGAGUUCAUGUCAUUUUCAAAGCUACGUUAUUUGCAAGGUCAUAACUCAAGCCUUUAAAUAAAUCUGGUUUGUUAUUUUUUAACUGAACA